This is a small nucleolar RNA of Hippopotamus amphibius kiboko, 69 nucleotides long. RefSeq annotates it as small nucleolar RNA SNORD73. NCBI's taxonomy places the organism in Eukaryota, Metazoa, Chordata, Mammalia, Artiodactyla, Hippopotamidae. The record is from RefSeq and is a predicted model, not a curated record. The transcript has a single exon.
AAUAAAUGAUGACAAAAUGUUUCGGUCCCAGAUGAUGUCCGAUGAUAAAACUUAACAUUUUCUGAUGUU